Molecule: ribosomal RNA, 199 nt
Filed under: uncultured bacterium
Lineage: Bacteria
Description: partial 16S ribosomal RNA
Rfam family: Bacterial small subunit ribosomal RNA
Source: RNAcentral
CAGCUCGUGUCGUGAGAUGUUGGGUUAAGUCCCGCAACGAGCGCAACCCUUGUGAUUAGUUGCCAGCGGUUCGGCCGGGGACUCUAGUCAAACUGCCCAGAUCAACUGGGAGGAAGGUGGGGACGACGUCAGGUCAGUAUGGCCCUUACGCCUAGGGCUGCACACGUACUACAAUGCCCAGCACAAUGAGAACCGAGAA